This is a non-coding RNA of Osmia lignaria (orchard mason bee), 1314 nucleotides long. Lineage: Eukaryota; Metazoa; Arthropoda; Insecta; Hymenoptera; Megachilidae. The record is from RefSeq and is a predicted model, not a curated record.
GAUGUUGCCUCUCUAUAGUUUAUUCAAUCACUUGUUAAACUGCAUGACAGUUGUUUUCUGAAAGUUCAUGUUUGAAAAUUAUUAAUUUAGACGUUUACGUUAUUCAUCAAUCAAAUAUUUAAUAAUGUUCCGCAAUCAAUACGACAGUGAUGUCACAGUUUGGAGUCCGCAAGGACGUUUACAUCAAGUGGAAUAUGCGAUGGAAGCUGUUAAAUUAGGAUCAGCCACUGUAGGACUUAAAAACAAAACUCAUGCUGUUUUAAUCGCACUCAAAAGAGCUUCAUCCGAGCUUUCAGCGCAUCAGAAGAAAAUGUUCCCCAUUGAUAAACACAUGGGAAUUUCUAUUUCUGGUUUAACUGCUGAUGCUAGAAUGUUAAGUCGAUAUAUGCGAACUGAAUGUUUAAACUAUAAGUAUUCCCAUGAUGAUGUAUUACCUGUAAGUCGUUUACUUGCAUCAUUGGGAAAUAAGUUGCAAACAUGUACUCAGAGAUACGAUAGAAGGCCAUAUGGUGUGGGUUUACUUAUUGCUGGUUAUGAUGAUCAAGGACCGCAUAUUUAUCAGACGUGUCCUUCAUCAAAUUAUUUUGAUUGCAAAGCAAUGGCUAUCGGUGCACGUUCUCAAAGUGCCCGCACAUAUUUAGAGAAACAUCUUAAUGAACUUCUUUCGUGUGAUCUUGACGAACUUAUAAAACAUGGUCUUCGUGCAUUAAGAGAUACUUUACCUAAUGAAGUUGAUUUAUCCAUUAAGAACGUCUCUAUUGCGGUAGUUGGAAAAGGUACAGAUUUUACAAUAUUUGAUGAGGAUGCGAUAUCCGUUUAUUUAUCCCAAAUUGAAGAUGAUAAACGUGGAAGACCUACCGAACCAGAUGUAGACCAAGAUUCUAGACCUCCACAACCUCCACCUUCUGACGAAGGUCCACAAGAUCCACAACCUGCAGUUGCAAUGGAAACAGAUUAAUGUUGCAUAUAUUGUCCAAGCGUUAAAGCAUCUACACCUACAUCUCUCAAAUCUUUCAUGGUCUGUUCAACUUCUUCAUCAGUCUCACUCAAUCCCAACAUUAUCGAUGAUUUCGUAAUUAAAUCUGGAUUUAAUUUUUUAGCUGUCUUUAAGACAUUUAUUGACUGCCUAAAAUAGUAUAUGAAUAUAUGUAAGUACAACAUAAUCCAAACCCCAAUCUGUUAUCGCAGUUGCUGUAUUUAUUGGUUCUUCUGGAUCUAAUGGUAAUGGUGUACGUGAUGUUUUAACAGAACAGAAACGACAACCACGGGUACAUGUGUCUCCCAUUAACUAUAUUAAAUUUUUUUCCACUAUUA